GAUGAACGCUGGCGGCGUGCUUAACACAUGCAAGUCGAACGGAAAGGCCCAAGCUUUGUUGGGUACUCGAGUGGCGAACGGGUGAGUAACACGUGGGUAUUCUGCCCUUCACUUCGGGAUAAACCUUGGAAACUGGGUCUAAUACCGGAUAGGACCUCUUGAUGGGUGGUGUGGAGUAAAGUUUUUCGGUGUGGGAUGAGCUCGUGGCCUAUCAGCUUGUGGGUUGGGUAAUGGCAUACCAAGGGGUCGACGGAUAGCCGGCCUUAGAGGUGGUACGGCGACAUUGGGACUGAGAGACGGCGCAGACUCCUACGGGAGGCAGCAGUGGGGAAUCUUGCAGAAUGGGGGCGAGCCUGAUGCAGCGGCGCCGCGUGGGGGAUGACGGCCUUCUAGUUAUAAACACCUGUCGAAAGGAACGAAGAGAAAGUGACGGUACCUAGAGAAGAAGCACCGGCUAACUACGUG
This 465-nucleotide ribosomal RNA is filed under the name uncultured bacterium. RNAcentral describes it as "partial 16S ribosomal RNA". It matches the Rfam family "Bacterial small subunit ribosomal RNA", at positions 28 to 507 of the family's 1533-position model. The record is from RNAcentral.